This is a long non-coding RNA of Panicum virgatum (switchgrass), 1226 nucleotides long. RefSeq lists it as uncharacterized. The transcript has 4 exons. NCBI's taxonomy places the organism in Eukaryota, Viridiplantae, Streptophyta, Magnoliopsida, Poales, Poaceae. The record is from RefSeq and is a predicted model, not a curated record.
CAUUCCCCUCCGAAACCCUAGCCGCUCCCUUUCUCCCUCAGUCUGUUGCCUCUCUCCCCAACAACUCAGAUCCGCCGUCGCCCUCCUCCAUGGCUAUCCCAGAUCCACGCGGUGGCCUUCGGAUCCGUCGGGCCAGAUCCAUGCAGUGGCCCUUGGAUCCGCCGCCCGUUCGUCGACACCCGCGCCGCGGCGGCCGGGCUGGAGCAGACGCCGGAAGCCGCGGCGACGGGAUGGAGGCCUGGAGCAAACGCUGGAGGUCUCAGUGGAGCUAGAGGACUGCGCAGAGCGAUGGCAGGCGGAGGACUGCGCAGAGCUCCAGGCAGCGCAAGUGAUGGUGGUGGAGGCGCGCUGUUUCGGAGGGCGCUUGUACGCGGCCUGGCGGCGGCGGAAUCAGCGGCUUGCUCUAGGCGGCCGCAUGUUCGAGAGGUCUGGAGAAGAAAAGGCUGGGCCGUGCCCAUCUUCGUGGCUGGCGCCAUCUCGGUCUGCAAAGAAGAUUUAGAUGGAUGACUAAAAAAGUUGGAUGUUUGUGGAACAUUCUAAUAGCUACUUUGGUGUGUUCAUACUCUGGACGUUUGGUGAGUUUGUCUUUGUUGUUCCUCCUGUAACGGGAACGCUGUAAUAGUGUUCAUACUCUGUGAUGUGUUUAUUUUUUGUUCAUGGUAAUUUAUAUCACAAACUGAACCCCCCUUUUUAUUAAAUCACAUAUGUAUCCUGAAAGUUUCAGUUGGAAAUUAUUACCUGGAAAUUGCAAUAAUUACUAGCUGUGUGGAUGUGAUGAGAUAAAAUUUGAAAUCUGAGCAUGUGUUUUCAUCUUGUUGCAAGGCCAAUGCUGCUCGUCUCCAAACCAAGGUGCCAUGUGCUGACGAAGAGAGGUGCAAUGGUGUUCUGUUAGUUUUUGGUAGAAUUUCAACUUUUGCAAGAACCAAAUAAACUUUGUUGCUGCAGCUUGCUAUUUUGGUGGUCUGUUGGCUUUUGGUGGAACUUCAACUUCCGCAGGAAUCAAACUUUGCUGCUGCUGGUUUAUAUUCUUGAUGAAACCUACCGUUUGUUGUUUCUGGUUAAUUAUGUUGUCUUGGAAUAUUACUAGUUUUGGUAGAUGGAAAUGUAUGUGAUAGAAACCUUAUUCAUGUGAAUUUGGGCCUGAAUUGCUUAUUGUGAAUUCUGGGGUUGUAACUUCUGCUUUAAUAAAUGGGCUGUGAAUAAAGUUAAAUCUAGUUAUCCGAGAA